This 175-nucleotide small RNA is filed under the name uncultured Prevotella sp. Its description in RNAcentral is "Bacteroidales-1 6S-Bacteroidales RNA suggested". It matches the Rfam family "Bacteroidales-1 6S-Bacteroidales RNA suggested". The record is from RNAcentral. Lineage: Bacteria; Pseudomonadati; Bacteroidota; Bacteroidia; Bacteroidales; Prevotellaceae.
CCGGUUUGAUCGGGAUACUCAUCAAAUAAAAUUGAAAACCGAGACAGCUACCUUUGUCAAUGGCGGGCCAUAUAAAUCCUUCAUGGACUAAGCUGCAAAGCCGGUGGAUUACAAAGACGGGGAGCUCUCAAAUCAUGUAUACUCGGAGUUUCAUCACAUCACCGGGCGACCCCUU